RNAcentral lists this ribosomal RNA (548 nucleotides) under uncultured bacterium. Its description in RNAcentral is "bacterial SSU rRNA". It matches the Rfam family "Bacterial small subunit ribosomal RNA", at positions 355 to 896 of the family's 1533-position model. The record is from RNAcentral.
UGGGGAAUUUUGGACAAUGGGCGCAAGCCUGAUCCAGCCAUGCCGCGUGCGGGAAGAAGGCCUUCGGGUUGUAAACCGCUUUUGUCAGGGAAGAAACGGUCUGGGUUAAUACCCUGGGCUAAUGACGGUACCUGAAGAAUAAGCACCGGCUAACUACGUGCCAGCAGCCGCGGUAAUACGUAGGGUGCGAGCGUUAAUCGGAAUUACUGGGCGUAAAGCGUGCGCAGGCGGCCAUGCAAGACAGAUGUGAAAUCCCCGGGCUCAACCUGGGAACUGCAUUUGUGACUGCAUGGCUAGAGUACGGCAGAGGGGGAUGGAAUUCCGCGUGUAGCAGUGAAAUGCGUAGAUAUGCGGAGGAACACCGAUGGCGAAGGCAAUCCCCUGGGCCUGUACUGACGCUCAUGCACGAAAGCGUGGGGAGCAGACAGGAUUAGAUACCCUGGUAGUCCACGCCCUAAACGAUGUCAACUGGUUGUUGGGAGGGUUUCUUCUCAGUAACGUAGCUAACGCGUGAAGUUNNCNGNCUGGGGAGUACGGCCGCAAGGUUG